UACGGGGGGGGCAAGCGUUGUUCGGAAUUACUGGGCGUAAAGGGCUCGUAGGCGGCCAACUAAGUCAUACGUGAAAUCCCUCGGCUUAACCGGGGAACUGCGUCUGAUACUGGAUGGCUUGAGAUUGGGAGAGGGAUGCGGAAUUCCGGGUGUAGCGGUGAAAUGCGUAGAUAUCUGGAGGAACACCGGUGGCGAAGGCGGCAUCCUGGACCAACACUGACGCUGAGGAGCGAAAGCCAGGGGAGCAAACGGG
RNAcentral lists this ribosomal RNA (253 nucleotides) under uncultured bacterium. RNAcentral describes it as "partial 16S ribosomal RNA". It matches the Rfam family "Bacterial small subunit ribosomal RNA", at positions 524 to 776 of the family's 1533-position model. The record is from RNAcentral.